GACGAACGCUGGCGGUGUGCUUCACACAUGCAAGUCGAACGAGGUAGCAAUACCUAGUGGCGGACGGGUGAGUAACGCGUGGGAAUCUGCCCAUAGGUGGGGGAUAACUAGCCGAAAGGUUAGCUAAUACCGCAUAUGCCGAAAGGUAAAAGGAGUAAUCCGCCUUUGGAUGAGCCCGCGUCCGAUUAGCUAGUUGGUAGAGUAAAAGCCUACCAAGGCGACGAUCGGUAGCUGGUCUGAGAGGAUGAUCAGCCACAAUGGGACUGAGACACGGCCCAUACUCCUACGGGAGGCAGCAGUGGGGAAUUUUACGCAAUGGGGGAAACCCUGACGUAGCGACACCGCGUGAAUGAAGAAGCCCUUUGGGGGUGUAAAAAUUCCGUCGGCUGGGAAGAAAAAAUGACGGUACCAGCAAAGGAAGCAAUCGGCUAACUACGUGCCAGCAGCCG
This 449-nucleotide ribosomal RNA is filed under the name uncultured bacterium. RNAcentral describes it as "bacterial SSU rRNA". It matches the Rfam family "Bacterial small subunit ribosomal RNA", at positions 28 to 517 of the family's 1533-position model. The record is from RNAcentral.